Molecule: ribosomal RNA, 243 nt
Filed under: Escherichia coli
Lineage: Bacteria; Pseudomonadati; Pseudomonadota; Gammaproteobacteria; Enterobacterales; Enterobacteriaceae
Also listed under: 2 other names
Description: partial 16S ribosomal RNA
Rfam family: Bacterial small subunit ribosomal RNA
Source: RNAcentral
UGUAGGCUGAAACUCGCCUACAUGAAGCUGGAGUUACUAGUAAUCGCGAAUCAGAAUGUCGCGGUGAAUACGUUCCCGGGUCUUGUACACACCGCCCGUCACACCAUGAGAGUUGGCAAUACCCGAAGUCCGUGAGCUAACCGCAAGGAGGCAGCGGCCGAAGGUAGGGUCAGCGAUUGGGGUGAAGUCGUAACAAGGUAGCCGUAGGAGAACCUGCGGCUGGAUCACCUCCUUUCUAAGGAA